UAGGGAAUCUUCCACAAUGGACGCAAGUCUGAUGGAGCAACGCCGCGUGAGUGAAGAAGGUUUUCGGACCGUAAAGCUCUGUUGUUGGUGAAGAAGGAUAGAGGUAGUAACUGGCCUUUAUUUGACGGUAAUCAACCAGAAAGUCACGGCUAACUACGUGCCAGCAGCCGCGGUAAUACGUAGGUGGCAAGCGUUGUCCGGAUUUAUUGGGCGUAAAGCGAGCGCAGGCGGAAGAAUAAGUCUGAUGUGAAAGCCCUCGGCUUAACCGAGGAAUUGCAUCGGAAACUGUUUUCUUGAGUGCAGAAGAGGAGAGUAGAACUCCAUGUGUAGCGGUGGAAUGCGUAGAUAUAUGGAAGAAUACCAGUGGCGAAGGCGGCUCUCUGGUCUGCAACUGACGCUGAGGCUCGAAAGCAUGGGUAGCGAACAGGAUUAGAUACCCUGGCAGUCCAUGCCGUAAACGAUGAGUGCUAAGUGUUGGGAGGCUUCCGCCUCUCAGUGCUGCAGCUAACGCAUUAAGCACUCCGCCUGGGGAGUACGNCCC
Molecule: ribosomal RNA, 541 nt
Filed under: uncultured bacterium
Lineage: Bacteria
Description: partial 16S ribosomal RNA
Rfam family: Bacterial small subunit ribosomal RNA
Source: RNAcentral